GUCUCAGCUUCGCUCAGAGGCUGACCACACCCCAUCUUCCUCCAGGACAUCCUGCCCCAGGAUUUCUAAAUCAGGACCAAAGGCAAUGGAGUGUAAACUCUACAUUCCAUUCCUUGCGUAAGGAAGCCCUGUGAAAAUUCCCCCACUUGGCAAAGAGAAGGCAGGGGAGCCCUUGAAAGCUGCUACUUUACCCCAAAGUUGAAGAGCAAAUUCUCAAAUCUUCCACUGUAAAGAGAUUUCCAAAGGAGACAGGUUAGGAGGGAUGCCUUUGUACACAUAAGAUGCACACCUUCUGUGAUGCUAAUCUACGUACUGCUGGUUCGGUCUAAUAACUCAGCUAUCAAAUCCACAGCGACGGGAGGGGAAGUUCUUAUCGGUCCUACAAAGCUACAGUUGGCUCCAUUUCACAGAUGAGGAAUUUGGGCCGUGGAGAAAUGGCUCAGCCAGGCAUCACAGGGUUUCAAAAUGUCAGUCUGAUGAGAAAACACCAGAACUACCAUGGAGAAUGAUAAAUGGAAGAGUAAGCAGCAGAAAAACAACCAAGAACUACACGGCUCAUCAGCUGGGAAUUCCCCAGAGUUUGGCAAUGCUGUGUUUCCUGCCUUAGAAUUUGUGACCCCCGGUUGACCUUUGUAUCAUUUACAUAGAGGGGCUUCUCUGAAAGAAGAACCACAUGCACACUUAAUAAAAAACGGGUGGGGACUCAGAGUCACCCAUGUGCUUCUUAGUUCCUUUUUACCUGAUACAACCUAGAGACAUCUGAGA
This 765-nucleotide long non-coding RNA is filed under the name Cricetulus griseus (Chinese hamster). RNAcentral's name for it is "lncRNA (ENSCGRG00015005367.2)". The record is from RNAcentral. Lineage: Eukaryota; Metazoa; Chordata; Mammalia; Rodentia; Cricetidae.